This 350-nucleotide ribosomal RNA is filed under the name uncultured bacterium. RNAcentral's name for it is "bacterial SSU rRNA". It matches the Rfam family "Bacterial small subunit ribosomal RNA", at positions 123 to 507 of the family's 1533-position model. The record is from RNAcentral.
CGUCCCCGUUUGGGUUCGGAAUAACAGUUAGAAAUGACUGCUAAUACCGAAUGAUGUCGUAAGACCAAAGAUUUAUCGCCGAGGGAUGAGCCCGCGUAGGAUUAGCUAGUUGGUGUGGUAAAGGCGCACCAAGGCGACGAUCCUUAGCUGGUCUGAGAGGAUGAUCAGCCACACUGGGACUGAGACACGGCCCAGACUCCUACGGGAGGCAGCAGUGGGGAAUAUUGGACAAUGGGCGAAAGCCUGAUCCAGCAAUGCCGCGUGAGUGAUGAAGGCCUUAGGGUUGUAAAGCUCUUUUACCCGGGAUGAUAAUGACAGUACCGGGAGAAUAAGCUCCGGCUAACUCCGUG